UUUAUCUGGAACUGAUUGAUUCCAAAUUUCAAGCAUUCAUUUUUGUAAUUAAUAAAUAUUAAAGAUCCGCUCUGCAUACGCGAAACAAAUGCUGCUUAAGAAACAUUUCAGUGCUCUCUCAGUUCUGCUGCUACUGGGCAGCUGCCAAUGGUCCUUCGCAGAGGAUUGUAUAUAUGGUAUAAGUAUUAGGUCUUUCAUGUGCGCGCUCUCCCGUGACAUGAACACCCUUUUUGCCAGAUUGGCCGGCAAAACUGUAAGUCAUGAAUAAGCGAACAGGGCUUGGGAAAUUGGUUGGCAGGUUACUGUUCAAAAAUUGUUAGUUCAAUCAAUAAAGUUAUUUGUUCAAGAAGCUCAAUUAAAAUUAAGUAAUUUUAGAAAAGA
Scaptodrosophila lebanonensis is the source of this 381-nucleotide long non-coding RNA. RefSeq lists it as uncharacterized. The transcript is spliced from 2 exons. The record is from RefSeq and is a predicted model, not a curated record. Lineage: Eukaryota; Metazoa; Arthropoda; Insecta; Diptera; Drosophilidae.